GGCACAGUAGUUUAAUCUGGUGGAAUACGAGUCUCAUGAGCUCGGGGUUGUGGGUUCAAAUCCCACCUGUGCCA
Molecule: transfer RNA, 74 nt
Filed under: bacterium
Lineage: Bacteria
Description: tRNA-Met
Rfam family: tRNA
About the family: Transfer RNA (tRNA) molecules are approximately 80 nucleotides in length. Their secondary structure includes four short double-helical elements and three loops (D, anti-codon, and T loops).
Source: RNAcentral